GCUUGCAGCAAAAAGAUCAAUGAUUGAUUCACUGUUAGAAGACGUUUGUCUUAUGGACUUUUCUUCUCUUUGUUAAAAACUCUGAACUGCUGAGCACUCCCUAAUGUGAUCAUACAGUAUUGGUAUUUGCAAAAACAUACUGUAUAUGCUACAGAAUUACACUGAUGUUGAUUUGUAAUUGAUUUUGUUUUUUGUUCUACUUGUUGCUUUUAAUAAGCCAGAUCAUUUCUUUUUUUUUUUUUGGAUUUACUGUACUAUUGAAUAUUUUUCUCUGGUGUAGGAUAAACAUCCACAGACUUGUCCGCUGAUGACAUGGAUGGACAAACUGUUGUUCCUGUCCUGUGUUUACGUGCUACAGUGCUGGGAGACCAACGAAUGUGUAUGAUUGUCGAUGAUGCAAAUAAAGAAAACAAGUGGUACA
Larimichthys crocea (large yellow croaker) is the source of this 421-nucleotide long non-coding RNA. RefSeq lists it as uncharacterized. The transcript is spliced from 3 exons. Lineage: Eukaryota; Metazoa; Chordata; Actinopteri; Sciaenidae. The record is from RefSeq and is a predicted model, not a curated record.